This is a long non-coding RNA of Thalassophryne amazonica, 523 nucleotides long. RefSeq lists it as uncharacterized. Lineage: Eukaryota; Metazoa; Chordata; Actinopteri; Batrachoidiformes; Batrachoididae. The record is from RefSeq and is a predicted model, not a curated record. The transcript has 2 exons.
UUAAACAUAAAACUUAAAUUUAGUUCUUGAUGAUCUUUGAAAAAUGUAGUUUUAGUUCUGGAGGAUCUGCUGCAAUAUUAGGGGACAUGUAAUGCCUGCAGCUAAUUGGCUGAACACACCUGACUUAAUGAACAAUGGGCGGAGCUUGGAGAGUCAGGUGACCUCCAGCAGCAGGGUUGGUGAGCCCUGAUUGGUUAAAUCCACUGCAGCAGAUUUUCACCAGAAUCUUCAAACCUGAAAAAGCCAAAAGUUGUUGUUUGCUGUUGAUCAGCACAGUUAGAGGUGAUCAAUAAUCAAUGAUCCAUUUGGAGCUAUGAGUGUGUUAGAAGAAUAGAACUAAAAGUGUGUGGAUGAGAUCAAUGUCAUGUUGAUGUUUCCAUGAUUAAAAACCAUGUGUUGCUCCGCCCCCUCCUCCUUUCAGGGUGGAUCCUGGUGGAGUCCGAUGGCUGAGACCAGGUCUGAGGAAGUAUUUCUCUGAACUCUCUCUGGAUCCAAAGUCAGCGAACAGAAAACUCAAACUGUC